Long non-coding RNA from Gordionus sp. m RMFG-2023, 502 nucleotides. RefSeq lists it as uncharacterized. NCBI's taxonomy places the organism in Eukaryota, Metazoa, Nematomorpha, Gordioida, Chordodea, Parachordodidae. The transcript has 3 exons. The record is from RefSeq and is a predicted model, not a curated record.
GAUAUAAUGAAGAAAGAAGAGAUAUUGAUGUUGAGGAUGAAAGCUUUAAAUAAUGGGAAAUAGAAGUAAUAUUAAUAUAGAUGAUAUUUUAGACAAAUGAAGAUGAGGCGAUGAAAAAGUUAUUGAAGAAAAUAUAAUAAAUGAAAAGUAAUUGUAGUUCUGAGACAAAUAAAUAUUGAAACCAAAAAUGAUAAGAGAAAGAAAAUAGGUGAUACUAUUUUUUUUAUAUCAGACAAUUUAUUUUUAAUAUAAUAAAAAUAUAUAUGUGAGGUUCAAUCUGAAGAUAUCUCCUAUGGUUUGGAUUCUGAUGAAAAUGCUAUAGCCUUAUUAUCGGUAGCAACAAUUCAUAUAAUAAAGGUAUAAAGGAUAAAUCACAAAUUAUUUAAUGCUCUUUCUUUGAUAUUAUAAAUUAUAAUAUAUAUAUUCUGCAAUAGCAAAUAUUAAAUACUGUACUGUAAUAAAUAGAUUAAAUAUUUUGUAUUAAAAAAAUAUUAUCAUAAGC